UAUGUAUAUUUUUAUAUUAGUGUAUUAUAUACUUGUUAUAAAAGUAUUAUAAAUAUACAUGGGAAAGCCCAUGUAUUUCACCUGAAUUUAGUACUUAACAUGGUUGCAAAAUACAUAUCCUGCCACAUGCAUCAAACAUAGAAUAAAGUAUGCUUUGUCUGAGGGCUCUUCCAUACACAGAUAUGACCUUCACUUUAUGAAGCCAGCUGGGCUAAUGAGAAGAACUUGGGAAAAAGGAGGCUGUUCUGCAAAUAAUAUUGAUUACAGGAUUCAAUGGAAAAAAAAAUUCUGCAAAGUAUUGUAAAUAUGAAGAACCAUAUGUAGAAAAAAACUCCACGAAAAAUUAUAUCAUAAUAAUGUGAGAAGAGUAAGUCAAGGUUAAAUGGGGAAGUUAAGGUUAAUAAUGACUUUGACCCUGAAGCCAACACAGUUCCUUUUCUCCUAUACCAUUGGAUUUCUUUACAUGCAUUUUAAGAGAGGUGUUUGGAUCUGGGUUACAUAAUCUGUUGUUCUUUGCUCCAGAAGAACAUUGUGUUGCAUCUUUGGAGAUUUCCUUCUGCUCCUUAAUAAAAAGAAUUGUUCUUAAAAACUCUGCUGUUUGGAGCCAGGCUUUAGCUAGUGUGGUUUUUCCAUAUUACCCAUGCUCUAGGCAGAGCCAACAUUAAAUGUAAGUUUGAUGCAAAUUGUGAAGAAAAGUAAGUAAUAAUGGAUGAGGUUUAUUCAUUCUUGUAUAAGUUUUGCCUGAGCAAAAAGUUUGUACAUUUUAUUAUUACUAAUUAUUUCUUAGACUUGCUCUUUAUUACUUUGAAGAAGGCAUUUACCCCAUCAGCAGACUGAAAGUCUUUGCCAGACCAAAGGCUAGUCAAUAUACCACAUUUUUUUAAUCAUAUAUAUUACUAGGAUUGAAGAAAAAUUGAGUGAAAGGAGUCGUAUUUGUGAAAUAUAUCAUCUGAAGACCAUAUAGCUAUUAGGAAUUAGCCAUGCAAAUAGAAAAUAUCCUGAAAUCCUUGAAACUUCUGUUUGGUAUUCAGCAUUUGCAUUAGCUGUUCUCUCUUCUAAGCUGUCUUCACUAACAACAUUUUUGAGUAAUUUUUCCUUCACCCAACAACUAGUUUUUCAAUUCUUUGACACCAUCUGGGUGUCCUACAGUUUAAUUCAGUUCUGACAUUAACCUCCCAGAAUUGGCACAGACUUCACGGGUUAAGGGCUCAGUUCCAUAAGACAGCGCCGACUUUGGAUGCCAGUAGUAAGUUCCAGGUUGCCAUCUAUACUUUUGACAGCCGUCUGUAUAUUGGGGGUUUCCAUGACUCCCUCCUCAUGUGGGAUAAUUUGCUAAAAUGUCUCGUAGAACACAGGAUAUAAUGUACUUUUUUAUUUUUAUUUUUUAAAUAAAGGAUGCAAUUCAGGAACAGCUAAAUGGAAGACAUGAAUAGGGCAAUGUAUGGGAGUGGGGCACACAUGCGGCUUCCAUGCUUUCUAUGGGCAUGUCACCUCCCAGCACCUUGAUGCAUUCACCAACCCAGAAGCUCUCUGUACCCCAGCAUUAGACAUUUUUAAUGAAGGUUGCAUUGAUUAAAUCAUUGGUGAUUAUCCUAGUCUCCAGUGCCUCACACCUCCCCAGAGGUCAAGGGGUAGGGCUGAGAAUUCCAACUUCCUGAUCAUGCCUUGGUCUUUCUGGUGACUAGCGCCCAUCCUGAAGCUAUGUAAGGGCCCACCAAAAGUGGCCUCAUUAGGAGAAAAGAUGCUCUUAUUACCCAGGAAAUUUCAAGGGACUUAGUAGGAGCCCCUGUCAGGAACCAAGGAUAAAGAGCAAAUAUUAGGAACAAAAGAUCCUCCUAUCAACCCUGUCAUUCAGGAGAUUACAAAGGUUUUAGGAGCUUUGUUUAAUGAAUUGUGAGCACAGACCAAAUAUAUAUAGUUUUUUUUUGUUUUUUUUUUUUUAAAUCAGACUCUUUAUUUUAUUAUAUAAGUUUUGGGUGCAGUGUUAUAGUUUAACAUCUGUAUACUCUAUUUUUUUUUAUUGUAAUCAAUUGUUAUUUCCCCAAUACCAUUUUUUUUCCCUACUAUAUAGCAUGGUGACCCAGUUACGUAUACGUGUAUACAUUCUUUUUUCUCAAAUUAUCAUGCUCCAUUUUAGGUGACCAGAUAUAGUUCUCAUUGCUACACAGCAGGAUCUCAUUGUUAAUCCAUUCCACAGGCAAUAGUCUGCAUCUGUGAACCCCAAGCUACCAAUCCAUCCCACUCCAUUCCCCUCCCCUUGGCAACCACAAGUCUAUUCUCCAAGUCCCUAAUUUUCUUUUCUGUGGAAAGGUUCAUUUGUGCCUUAUAUUAGAUUCCAGAUGUAAGUGAUAUCAUAUGGUAUUUGUCUUUCUCUUUCUGACUUACUUCACUCAGGAUGAGAGUCUCUAGUUCCAUCCAUGUUGCUGCACAUGGCAUUCUUUUCUACUUUUUUAUGGCUGAGUAGUAUUCCAUUGUGUAUAUGUACCACAUCUUCCUAAUCCAGUCAUCUGUUGAUGACAUUUGGAUUGUUUCCAUGUCUUAGCUAUUGUGAAUAGUGCUGCAAUGAACAUGCAGGUGCAUGUGUCUUUUUUAAGCAAAGUUUUGUCUGGAUAUAUGCCCAAGAGUGGGCUUGCUGGGUCAUAUGGUAGUUCUACGUGUAGUUUUCUAAGGUACCUCCAUACUGUUCUCCAUAAUGGUUGCGACAGCUUACAUUCCCAACAGUUCAGGAGGUUCCCUUUUUACCACAUCCUUUCCAGCAUUUGUUAUUUGUGGACUUCUUAAUGAUGGCCAUUCUGACUGGUGUGAGGUGGCUCCUCAUGGUAGUUUUGAUUGCAUUUCUCUAAUAAUCAGUGAUGUUGAGCAUUUUUACAUGUGCUUGUUGGCCAUCUGUAUAUACUCUAAUUUUUAAGAGUAGGAAAAAUAUUGUCCUCCUUUCUCCCUCACCCAUCUCAUGUGUCAGUUAUAUUUAAUUAAGUAUCUGGCUUUUAUCCUCUCAGAGCUUCUUCACUAAGAAAUAUUUUCAUUAAAAUUCCAAUAAAGGAAAUGGAAAAGAGAGACUUCCUCAUAUUUUGUAGAGUAUAUUUUCUUUUUUUUCCCUUAUAAUCUUAAGAUGUUAUAUGAAGAGUAUGAUAAUGUUCACAAAAGUCUUGUGAUUUGAGAUAUAUACCGUAAAUUACAAACAAAUUUCCUUUGCCAAACAAUAAAUAUGACAAAUGGGAAAUAAUAACAUGUUUUCUCAGAAUGCGUUUUUUAGUUCACUUUUGUGCCUGGUCUUAAAAAUGUUGAUAUUUUUUGCUCUGCCUUUGCCCCUCAUCUAUCCUCCAUAGUACAUGGGUCACUUGAUUGAAAUCAGUCAUACAUGUAUUUAAAGAAUAUGUAUUUACAUGUGUUUAAAGAAUACCUGUGCACUAAUAACUGCCAGAUCUAUACUUAUAAUAUGGCGCUGCCUCUUAAGCAUCUCAUACAUAUAGGUAGAAAUCUUCCAGUUUUCCCAUAUACAUUUCAAGCAUUAAUUUAUUCAUUCACUCAGUGCAUUUUUAUUGAGGGCCUGCUUUGUUCCCUCAGUAAAACACUUAACCUGUCCAAAACUUGUCAUUUAUAUUUCCUCUCCAUAAGUAAAUACUCAUCUCCACAUAACAAAUAUGGAAACCUGGGGACUAAUGUUCCAUUCAUUCCUUUGAUUAUGAUGAUGAUGGUAAAAAUAACUGAUCUAACACUAUGAUAAGCAUUUAAUAUAUUUCAGUAACUCAUUGAAUUCUCACAACAGCUCUGUGAGUUAGGAAUUAUUUUUAUUUUAAAGUCAGAAAUUUGAGCUGAGAAUUAUGUAAAUUAUUUAAAGUCAUACAACUAGUAGGUGGGAGAGAUGGGUCUGAAGUACAGUAGCAAUGACCAACUAAUUCUCUUUUGUUAACAUGACUGAUACAAGUCUACCUCUUUUCCAUUCUCACUGCUACAAAGUGUAGUUUGGCCCAUCAUCACUUGGACUACUUUAAUUUCCCUUAUCUUGGAUCAUAUGUCUCCAUUUCAUCCUAAUACUGCUAACAAUAAAUCUUUCUAAGACCUGAUUGUGUUACUUGUCAAUUAAAAGCCUUUCAGUAACUUCUCAUUAACUAUAUGACAUGGUACAAACUUGUCAACGUGGCCCUCCGUGAGUUGCAUCUUGCCUCUCUCUUGUAUCACCUCUUACCAUAAUCUUCUUUUCAUUAUGUGCUUUAGUCAUAUGGAAUUAUUUGAAGAUCUUGUAAAGUAUCAUGUUAUGUCAAGCUUCUUUCCUUUUUUUAAUUUAGUCUCUUUACUCUGCUUUGAAUGCCAUUUUUCCCUGGUGCAAUUUUUGAAUCUGUAUUGUCCAUUUAAGACUCAUUUUAUUUAAGAAGCUGUUUCUUGGACUCUGGGUAUACUUAAUCCUUUGUAUACUUCUAUUAUUUCAACUAUAAAGGUUUAUUUACUUAAUUCUUUACAAGUUGGUUUCUCCUUUGGGGUUUGAAUUCCUUGAGGCUGUAAACCAUCUUCACUUAAUUGUAUCUAGGACAGUGUCUGACAUACCACAAAUGAAAGGUGAAUGACUCCUUAUGUGUAUCCCAGGUAAACUGCAGAAUUUGCAGUAGUUUGCUCAGAGUCACAAAUUAUUUUAUAACUAUGGAUUAUUUUAUUCUUUCUACUUCAAGAUUAAAGAUAUAUAAGAAUUCAUGACUGGCCUAGAAUUAAUCUUGGGCAACUAGGUGAUGGUAUUUGAAUAGUUUAUCUCUACCCCCAAGUUUGUAAACUUCAUUUUUGUGCUUGGUUCCCAUGUAUCUCUAACCAUACAUCUUCUUUAUCUCAGUUCUUAUGUAUUUUUUCAUCCAUGAUUUCCUAAUAGGAAUACUUUUUCCCCUUCUAUUUUUUUUUGUUUUUAUAGUUCAGAUGUGUGGUUGGGAAUAUCAGGACUCUGUCAGAUUGUGGGCCUUAAAAAUGGAAAAAUGGGUAUAAUUAUUUUGUUUUGGGAGCAGCCUAACACAGACCAACUGCUGAAAAAGCAAAGUGAAACAAAAUAAUCUAAAAGUUUGAUUUGUUUUGGUAUGUCUGAAUAGUCCAUCAGUCCUAAUGAGAGUUAUUUAAGGGGCUGAUUUUACUCUUGAUAUUAUUUUAGGAAAGCACAUAAAUUAUACAUUAAUAGAUUUUAUUUAAUGAGCUACUAUUUAAUAAUAAUAAUGAGUUAUUACUUAAUUUUAUUUAUUAAGAGUAAAGGUACUCUUUCUGCAUGGCAGUAGAGAAAUUUCAACUAGGAGAAAACCUUCAACUUUAGAGAUGGAUACCCUAUUGUGUAAAUGGAACAUAUUUUCACAGAUAUACCUUUCAGAUUAUAAACUAUAUAUAUUAACAUGCUUCUGUUUUUGGUAAACAUUUAAAAUGUAUAUAUAUAUAUAUGUAUAUAUAUUUGCAUGGAAAAAAUAAAAGAAAUGCUUAUAUGGCUUAUUACUUGAGGUAGUGUUUCAGUGGAUUUAUUUCCUAUAUAUUGUUCUCCUGUAUGUUAAAAUAUAUAUAAUAUAUAUAUUUUAGUGUACUGCUAUUUGUGAGAUAUAAAUAAAGGAAAAGUAAGAUAUACUUUAAAAGGAUUCUCUAACAUAUAAAGAUAAUUUUAAUGUGGUAGUAUCCUUCUGGGAAGACUAUUUUUAGAGCAGAGCUCAGCACCGCAAGUACCGCAGAGUUUUCCCCAAGUAUAUUCAGUUCUACAAUCCAUUAAUGAAAAGUAGACAUUUUUAUGAAGGUUUCAUGGAGAGAGGAGAACAAAACUUACUACAUACCCCCUUGUUAAUUUUCCAAAAAUUCUUUUUCUGAUGCAACCAAUAUCACAUUUCUUCUCUACCUUCCAACUUCUUCCCAACAGCUUCUUAGCCAUAGUAAGUCUUAGCAUCUUCUCUCUCUUAGAUUUUUCUCUUUAUUUCAAUCCUUUUCCCCCAAAGGAUUGUAAUUAUAGUUCUUUUGGAUUCCCUGGUUUUAUACCUUCUCACUUAACAAUCCAAUCAGCCAACAAAGGAACUUCAUUAUGACUCCCCUCUUCUCAGAAGUCAGGAGCAUUUUGGAGUUCUCUUGUGGCAUAGUGGGUUAAGGAUCUGGAGUUGUAACUGCAGUGGCUUGGAUUGCUGCUGUGGCAAAAAAAAAAAAAAAAAAAAAAAAAAAAAAA
Molecule: long non-coding RNA, 6160 nt
Filed under: Sus scrofa (pig)
Lineage: Eukaryota; Metazoa; Chordata; Mammalia; Artiodactyla; Suidae
Description: lncRNA (ENSSSCG00015068296.1)
Source: RNAcentral